GUAGGUGGCAAGCGUUGUCCGGAAUUAUUGGGCGUAAAGCGCGCGCAGGCGGUCCUUUAAGUCUGACGUGAAAGCCCACGGCUCAACCGUGGAGGGUCAUUGGAAACUGGGGGACUUGAGUACAGAAGAGGAAAGCGGAAUUCCAAGUGUAGCGGUGAAAUGCGUAGAGAUUUGGAGGAACACCAGUGGCGAAGGCGGCUUUCUGGUCUGUAACUGACGCUGAGGCGCGAAAGCGUGGGGAGCAAACAGGAUUAGAUACCCUGGUAGUCCACGCCGUAAACGAUGAGUGCUAAGUGUUAGGGGGUUUUCCCGCCCCCCUUAGUGCUGCAGCUAACGCAUUAAGCACUCCGCCUGGGGGAGUACGGCCGCAAGGCUG
This 376-nucleotide ribosomal RNA is filed under the name uncultured organism. Its description in RNAcentral is "partial 16S ribosomal RNA". It matches the Rfam family "Bacterial small subunit ribosomal RNA", at positions 527 to 896 of the family's 1533-position model. The record is from RNAcentral.